Molecule: ribosomal RNA, 253 nt
Filed under: uncultured bacterium
Lineage: Bacteria
Description: partial 16S ribosomal RNA
Rfam family: Bacterial small subunit ribosomal RNA
Source: RNAcentral
UACGUAGGGGGCAAGCGUUGUCCGGAUUUAUUGGGCCUAAAGCAUCCGUAGCCGGUUCUACAAGUCUUCCGUUAAAUCCACCUGCUUAACAGAUGGGCUGCGGAAGAUACUAUAGAGCUAGGAGGCGGGAGAGGCAAGCGGUACUCGAUGGGUAGGGGUAAAAUCCGUUGAUCCAUUGAAGACCACCAGUGGCGAAGGCGGCUUGCCAGAACGCGCUCGACGGUGAGGGAUGAAAGCUGGGGGAGCAAACCGG